Equus caballus (horse) is the source of this 1840-nucleotide long non-coding RNA. NCBI's taxonomy places the organism in Eukaryota, Metazoa, Chordata, Mammalia, Perissodactyla, Equidae. The record is from Ensembl.
CACCAAUGUCUCCGGGAAGGGGUGUGAGGGGCCAGGGGCCCCAUAAUGAGGGAGGCUGAGUGCUUCCCCAAAGGAAGCGGGGCCAUUCUCUUUGCAACCCCAUUUAGUUUCUCCUUUCCCUCUUCCCAGCAAAGCAGACUGUGAUGGGCAUUUAAGAAUAACAAUCCGCUGGGAGCUGUGUGGAUCUACUGCUGGAGGAAGGAAGGAAGUCAGGGGACGGAGUGCAUGGAUUUGGCUGCUCUGGGCCCAGAUUCCCAAAUGGCCACAACCAGCUGGCACUGAGCGUUGCUGCCACCUUAAGACAGGGCUUUGCCCUCCAACUGGACCCAGCCCCUACCUGGCCUGCUCCAGCCUGUGACCUUACCUGCCUGGCCUCUGCAGGCCCUGGGGGAUCCCUCACGGGUCUACUUGGGGUAAGGACGGGAGGCCCCAGAGAAGACUGGGAGCCCAGGAAAUGGCCCUUACUGCGGGCUCUCCUUUGGCCCUUCAUUGGCUGAAAUGUGUUCCAAGUCACCCCAAUGUGACAGGAAGUGACAAGACAAUAACUAAUAGCAGCUACCAUUUAUUGGGUGCCCUCUGCAUGCUGGACACCAGGCUCCAUUUAAUCCUUUAAUCCUCCCAACCCUCCUAUCCAGGCAUUAUUGUUGCCACUGAACUGACGGAGAAACUGAGGCUCAGAGAGCUUAGGUAACCUGCCCGGUUGACACAUUAGCAAGUGGCAGAGCCUGGAUCCCAACCGAGCUCUGAGUGCUCUGCCCCACUGCCCACUGCCUGCAGGAGCAACAGGACCUGCUCAUUUGCAUAUUAACCUCACCUGGCGGGUAUUGGAAGCUGCAGCCCACCUCAGCCUGCCCUUCCACGUGGAGAUAGCACGCCAGAAUGGUUGAAAGCAGGGCUUUGGUGUUAGACAGACCUGAGCUCAAAUCCCAACCCCUGUUAAUACCAUUUACUAGCUAUGUGACCUAAGGCAAGUGACUCAACCUCUCUGAGCCUCAGCUUCCUCAUCUGUGAAAUGGGAAGGAUACCAACACCUACCGCUUAGGGCAAUUGGAGGAUUGAGAGUGCAUUCAAAUGCUGUAUCCGUCAGCUCUUUGGGGGCAGGCACAAGAAAGAGAGUCUGGCUAAAAAGGGAGCGAGAAAGAUAGAAGGACAUGGAAUGCUCAGAAUCCAAAGAAAAACUGAAGAACCGUGGAGCUCCAGGAAUCAAGAGAGCAGGAAACAUGGACAACCUUGUCAUGGGGCCACCACUGGAACAAAGAGGCUCCAACCUCAUUUUCCCCCCUCAUUUAUUCAGUGUCCUGGGAGAUUGGCCCACCUUGGGUCACAUUCCUACCUGGGUUAUGUCAGGUUUCCUGGAAGCAGAGCUUGAGACAAGGAUUCUUGUGCAAUCUGUUUGUUGAGUGUGCUGGCAGGAGAAGAGGAGGCGGGUAGCAGGAUUGGUGGGGGAAGAAGCUGGUUAAAGAUGUGGUUUCAGGAGACAUGGAGUCUCAGUCUGAUUCCAUGGGCAGCGCCGGAGCAUUGACGGCACCACAUAGCUUGUGCCCCCUUGAGGCCAGGGGCCCAGGUUUACCCUACAUUAGUCAGUCAUUAACCACAGGCCACCCCCAGGGGGAGAGGUGUAACCACUCAGGUAGCACCAGGUAAUUCACCUGGGACAAUCCUUCCAAGAAGGAGGCAGCUGAGCCCUUAGCAUUCCACAUUCUCAGUGUCAGGGAGAGGUUGUACCAGCUCAGAAAGGGAGUCUGGGCGGGGCCAAGAGCAUCUGCUGCAUCCCCAUCACUGAAUGUCCCAACAGCCCACACACAACGAGGAAGAGGUAAUUACUUGAAAAGAAAUCAGG